This 392-nucleotide ribosomal RNA is filed under the name uncultured bacterium. Its description in RNAcentral is "bacterial SSU rRNA". It matches the Rfam family "Bacterial small subunit ribosomal RNA", at positions 28 to 414 of the family's 1533-position model. The record is from RNAcentral.
GAUGAACGCUAGCGGCAGGCUUAAUACAUGCAAGUCGAGGGGUAGUUUAGAUUCGUCUGAAUUAGACCGGCGCACGGGUGAGUAACACGUACGCAACCUACCCUGUACUGAGGCAUAGCCCCGGGAAACGUAGGGAGUUAAUUCCUCAUAGUCCUUUAGUAAUGGCAUCAUUCUUUAGGUAAAGACUCAGGCGGUACAGGAUGGGCGGUGCGUCUGAUUAGGUAGUUGGUAUGGGUAACGGCCUACCAAGCCUGCGAUCAGUAGCUGGCGUGAGAGCGCGACCAGCCACACUGGAACUGAGACACGGUCCAGACUCCUACGGGAGGCAGCAGUAGGGAAUAUUGGGCAAUGGGCGCAAGCCUGACCCAGCCAUGCCGCGUGAAGGAUUAAGG